UGGCUUGUAGCAUAAGGGUAAUGCAUCUGCCUGUUAAGCAGAAAGAUGGUGGUUCGAAUCCACCCGAGUCAGCCA
Molecule: transfer RNA, 75 nt
Filed under: Acanthopleuribacter pedis
Lineage: Bacteria; Pseudomonadati; Acidobacteriota; Holophagae; Acanthopleuribacterales; Acanthopleuribacteraceae
Description: tRNA-Asn
Rfam family: tRNA
About the family: Transfer RNA (tRNA) molecules are approximately 80 nucleotides in length. Their secondary structure includes four short double-helical elements and three loops (D, anti-codon, and T loops). Further hydrogen bonds mediate the characteristic L-shaped molecular structure. tRNAs have two regions of fundamental functional importance: the anti-codon, which is responsible for specific mRNA codon recognition, and the 3' end, to which the tRNAs corresponding amino acid is attached (by aminoacyl-tRNA synthetases). tRNAs cope with the degeneracy of the genetic code in two manners: having more than one tRNA (with a specific anti-codon) for a particular amino acid; and 'wobble' base-pairing, i.e. permitting non-standard base-pairing at the 3rd anti-codon position.
Source: RNAcentral